CCUACGGGUGGCAGCAGUGAGGAAUAUUGGUCAAUGGCCGGAAGGCUGAACCAGCCAAGCCGCGUGAGGGAGGAAGGCGCAGAGCGUCGCAGACCUCUUUUGCCGGGGGACAAAAGGCCGGACUCGUCCGGUCCUGAGGGUACCCGGAGAAAAAGCAUCGGCUAACUCCGUGCCAGCAGCCGCGGUAAUACGGAGGAUGCGAGCGUUAUCCGGAUUUAUUGGGUUUAAAGGGUGCGUAGGCGGUUUGAUAAGUUAGAGGAGAAAUGUCGGGGCUCAACCCCGAAACUGCCUCUAAUACUGUUGGACUAGAGAAUAGUUGCGGUAGGCGGAAUGUAUGGUGUAGCGGUGAAAUGCAUAGAUAUCACGCAGAACUCCGAUUGCGAAGGCAGCAUACCGGCGCCCAACUGACGCUGAAGCACGAAAGCGUGGGUAUCGAACAGGAUUAGAUACCCCAGUAGUC
RNAcentral lists this ribosomal RNA (460 nucleotides) under uncultured bacterium. RNAcentral describes it as "partial 16S ribosomal RNA". It matches the Rfam family "Bacterial small subunit ribosomal RNA", at positions 338 to 795 of the family's 1533-position model. The record is from RNAcentral.